GACCACCGGAGAAGAUAAAGACGACCGUCAGCAGUGUCACCAGAAUAACAGAUGAACCAGAUGAGAUGGAUCAGGGCGAGGAGCUUGUUUGCAGUAACAAAGUUAUCAUGUUGGACCCAGAGAUGGAGAUCACACCUGUUCAAAA
Molecule: long non-coding RNA, 145 nt
Organism: Thalassophryne amazonica
Lineage: Eukaryota; Metazoa; Chordata; Actinopteri; Batrachoidiformes; Batrachoididae
Exons: 2
Source: RefSeq, a predicted model, not a curated record